This is a long non-coding RNA of Alexandromys fortis (reed vole), 716 nucleotides long. RefSeq lists it as uncharacterized. The record is from RefSeq and is a predicted model, not a curated record. Lineage: Eukaryota; Metazoa; Chordata; Mammalia; Rodentia; Cricetidae. The transcript is spliced from 3 exons.
CUCUGGAUGUGGUCUUGACCUCACUAAUCAGAUUUAUGCCUUUCCCCUCCUCCUUGAAUGAUCUAGACCCGAACAAGCUAAGGAAGUGAAGUGAACUCAGAGGAAUUAGAUUGCAGUCUAAAGCUUGCCGAGAUGACGCAAGAAAGCCGUCUCACCUACCAAAACCAGAUUCUCUUCUCAGAUGGUCAGGGUUGUCAACAGUAAGAUGAUACAGAGAAGACUGGGCCUGAAGAGAGUUUUAUACCGAGUUAAGUGCGGUGAUGGAAUUGGGUAUUUUGGAACAGGCAUUUUGGAAUUAGCUACAAGGCAUACUUAAGUCACCUGAUGACUGGAGAUGGGGGAAGAUAGUUUCCUUGGAGAUGAUGAUAUGGGAGCUGAAUAUGGAAGGAUGAGUAGGCAUUCGCCGGGCAAGGCUUAGGAGUGAAGACGUCCAGAAGGAGGCGACAUCAAGAUUAAAGGACAAAGACACAGCCUCAUGGAUAAGCGAUCAUGCUGCCGGAGAAAAAUCUUGAAGCAGAAAGUGGGAACAGAGAACGCUGGAGAGAUGAGUGGGAGACAGAAGGCUUUGAGAGGCUUUAUCCCUAAUAGGUGAUGAUUCAUCAAAACAUGUUGCCUUCGGGUCAAAUGGAAACAAUCUCAGAGUUUCUGCAAUGUCUCAUGCCAGCCUUCUUUAAUUGCAUUUUAUCCUGUUGUUGAAAACGAUUCAAGGGACAUGU